RNAcentral lists this ribosomal RNA (1462 nucleotides) under uncultured Bordetella sp. Its description in RNAcentral is "partial 16S-23S ribosomal RNA intergenic spacer". It matches the Rfam family "Bacterial small subunit ribosomal RNA". The record is from RNAcentral. Lineage: Bacteria; Pseudomonadati; Pseudomonadota; Betaproteobacteria; Burkholderiales; Alcaligenaceae.
AGUUCGAUCAUGGCUCAGAUUGAACGCUGGCGGGAUGCUUUACACAUGCAAGUCGAACGGCAGCACGGACUUCGGUCUGGUGGCGAGUGGCGAACGGGUGAGUAAUGUAUCGGAACGUGCCUAGUAGCGGGGAUAACUACGCGAAAGCGUAGCUAAUACCGCAUACGCCCUUUCGGGGGAAAGCGGGGGGACCUGGCCUCGCACUAUUAGAGCGGCUAUCGGAUUAGCUAGUUGGUGUGAACGUUCUUCCGUCAUGAUCGAUCCGUAGCUGGUUUGAGAGGACGACCGGCCACACUGGGACUGAGACAUGGCCCAGACUCCUACGAGGCAGUAAAUUUCGGGACAAUGGGGAAACCCUGAUCCCAGCCAUCCUUAUGUGUGCGAUGAAGGCCUUUGGCUUGUAAAGCACUUUUCGGCAGAGUUGUUCCGCAAUGGGAUAAUACCGUGCAACUGACGGCACUGCAGAAUAAGCACCGGCUAACUACGUGCCAGCAGCCGCGGUAACGGUUGCAGUGUGCGCGUUAAUCGGAAUUACUGGGCGUAAAAGCGUGCGGCAGGCGGUUCGGAAAGAAAGAUGUGAACCUUGGUUUAACUUUGGAACUGCAUUUUUAACUACCGAGCUAGAGUGUGUCAGAGGGUGAGGUGAAUCGCGUAGCAGUGAAAAUGCGUAGAUAUGCGGAGGAACACCGAUGGCGAAGGCAGCCUGGGAUAACACUGACGCUCAUGCACGAAAGCGUGGGGAGCAAACAGGAUUAGAUACUCCUGGCAGUCCACGCCCUAAACGAUGUCAACUAGCUGUUAAACGGCCUGGUAGCGCAGCUAACGGGCAGAAGUUGACCGCCUGGGGAGUACGGUCGCAAAAGAUUAAAACUCAAAGGAAUUGACGGGGACCCGCACAAGCGGUGGAUGAUGUGGAUUAAUUGAUGCAACGCGAAAACCUUACUCACUCCUUGACAUGUCUGGAAUCCCGAAGAGAUUUGGGAGUGCUCGCAAGAGAACCGGAACACAGGUGCUGCAUGGCUGUCGUCAGCUCGUGUCGUGAGAUGCUGGGUUAAGUCCCGCAACGAGCGCAACCCUUGUCAUUAGUUGCUACGAAAGGGCACUCUAAUGAGACUGCCGGUGACAAACCGGAGGAAGGUGGAUGACGUCAAGUCCUCAUGGCCUAUGGGUAGGGCUUCACACGUCAUACAAUGGUCGGGACAGAGGGUCGCCAACCCGCGAGGGGGAGCCAAUCCCAGAAACCCGAUCGUAGUCCGGAUCGCAGUUCGCAACUCGACUGCGUGGGAAGUCGGAAUCGCUAGUAAUCGCGGAUCAGCAUGUGUCGCGGUGAAUACGUUCCCGUCUUGUACACACCGCCCGUCACACCAUGGGAGUGGGUUUUACCAGAAGUAGUUAGCCUAACCGUAAGGAGGGCGAUUACCACGGUAGGAUUCAUGACUGGGGUGUAGUCGUAACAAGGUAG